UACGAAGGGUGCAAACGUUGCUCGGAAUCAUUGGGCGUAAAGCGCACGUAGGCGGCUCCGCAAGUCGGAUGUGAGAUCCCUCGGCUCAACCGAGGACGUGCAUCCGAAACUGCAGAGCUUGAGUAUGGAAGAGGGUCGCGGAAUCCCCGGUGUAGAGGUGAAAUUCGUAGAUAUCUGGAGGAACACCGGUGGCGAAGGCGGCAUCCUGGACCAACACUGACGCUGAGUGAGCGAAAGCCAGGGGAGCAAACGGG
RNAcentral lists this ribosomal RNA (254 nucleotides) under uncultured bacterium. RNAcentral describes it as "partial 16S ribosomal RNA". It matches the Rfam family "Bacterial small subunit ribosomal RNA", at positions 524 to 776 of the family's 1533-position model. The record is from RNAcentral.